This 955-nucleotide ribosomal RNA is filed under the name uncultured bacterium. RNAcentral describes it as "bacterial SSU rRNA". It matches the Rfam family "Bacterial small subunit ribosomal RNA", at positions 47 to 990 of the family's 1533-position model. The record is from RNAcentral.
CCUACCAUGCAAGUCGAACGGCAGCACAGCAGAGCUUGCUCUGUGGGUGGCGAGUGGCGGACGGGUGAGUAAUACAUCGGGACCUACCCAGACGUGGGGGAUAACCUCGGGAAACCGGGACUAAUACCGCAUACGUCCUACGGGAGAAAGCGGGGGACCUUCGGGCCUCGCGCGUUUGGACGGACCGAUGUUCGAUUAGCUUGUUGGUGGGGUAAAGGCCUACCAAGGCGACGAUCGAUAGCUGGUCUGAGAGGAUGAUCAGCCACAUUGGGACUGAGACACGGCCCAAACUCCUACGGGAGGCAGCAGUGGGGAAUAUUGGACAAUGGGCGCAAGCCUGAUCCAGCAAUGCCGCGUGUGUGAAGAAGGCCCUCGGGUUGUAAAGCACUUUUAUCAGGAACGAAAUCGGCAGGGUUAAUAGCCAUGUCGUCUGACGGUACCUGAGGAAUAAGCACCGGCUAACUUCGUGCCAGCAGCCGCGGUAAUACGAAGGGUGCAAGCGUUAAUCGGAAUUACUGGGCGUAAAGGGUGCGUAGGCGGUUAGUUAAGUCUGUUGUGAAAUCCCCGGGCUCAACCUGGGAAUGGCAAUGGAUACUGGCUGGCUAGAGUGUGUCAGAGGAUGGUGGAAUUCCCGGUGUAGCGGUGAAAUGCGUAGAGAUCGGGAGGAACAUCAGUGGCGAAGGCGGCUAUCUGGGACAACACUGACGCUGAAGCACGAAAGCGUGGGGAGCAAACAGGAUUAGAUACCCUGGUAGUCCACGCCCUAAACGAUGCGAACUGGACGUUGGUCUCAACUCGGAGAUCAGUGUCGAAGCUAACGCGUUAAGUUCGCCGCCUGGGGAGUACGGUCGCAAGACUGAAACUCAAAGGAAUUGACGGGGGCCCGCACAAGCGGUGGAAGUAUGUGGUUUUAAUUCGAUGCAACGCGAAGAACCUUACCUGGCCUUGACAUGUC